GGUAGCCGGACUGAGAGGUUGAACGGCCACAUUGGGACUGAGACACGGCCCAGACUCCUACGGGAGGCAGCAGUGGGGAAUAUUGCACAAUGGGGGAAACCCUGAUGCAGCGACGCCGCGUGGAGGAAGAAGGUCUUCGGAUUGUAAACUCCUGUUGUUGGGGAAGAUAAUGACGGUACCCAACAAGGAAGUGACGGCUAACUACGUGCCAGCAGCCGCGGUAAAACGUAGGUCACAAGCGUUGUCCGGAAUUACUGGGUGUAAAGGGAGCGCAGGCGGGAAGACAAGUUGGAAGUGAAAUCCAUGGGCUCAACCCAUGAACUGCUUUCAAAACUGUUUUUCUUGAGUAGUGCAGAGGUAGGCGGAAUUCCCGGUGUAGCGGUGGAAUGCGUAGAUAUCGGGAGGAACACCAGUGGCGAAGGCGGCCUACUGGGCACCAACUGACGCUGAGGCUCGAAAGUGUGGGUAGCAAACAGGAUUAGAUACCCUGGUAGUCCACACCGUAAACGAUGAUUACUAGGUGUUGGAGGAUUGACCCCUUCAGUGCCGCAGUUAACACAAUAAGUAAUCCACCUGGGGAGUACGACCGCAAGGUUGAAACUCAAAGGAAUUGACGGGGGCCCGCACAAGCAGUGGAGUAUGUGGUUUAAUUCGACGCAACGCGAAGAACCUUACCAAGUCUUGACAUCCGUUGACCGACAUAGAAAUAUGUUUUUCCUUCGGGACAGCGAGACAGGUGGUGCAUGGUUGUCGUCAGCUCGUGUCGUGAGAUGUUGGGUUAAGUCCCGCAACGAGCGCAACCCUUAUGGUCAGUUACUACGCAAGAGGACUCUGGCCAGACUGCCGUUGACAAAACGGAGGAAGGUGGGGAUGACGUCAAAUCAUCAUGCCCUUUAUGACUUGGGCUACACACGUACUACAAUGGCGUUAAACAAAGAGAAGCAAGACCGCGAGGUGGAGCAAAACUCAGAAACAACGUCCCAGUUCGGACUGCAGGCUGCAACUCGCCUGCACGAAGUCGGAAUUGCUAGUAAUCGUGGAUCAGCAUGCCACGGUGAAUACGUUCCCGGGCCUUGUACACACCGCCCGUCACACCAUGAGAGCCGGGGGGACCCGAAGUCGGUAGUCUAACCGCAAGGAGGACGCCGCCGAAGGUAAAACUGGUGAUUGGGGUGAAGUCGUAACAAGGUAGCCGUAGGAGGACCUGCGGCUG
This 1213-nucleotide ribosomal RNA is filed under the name metagenome. RNAcentral's name for it is "bacterial SSU rRNA". It matches the Rfam family "Bacterial small subunit ribosomal RNA", at positions 282 to 1520 of the family's 1533-position model. The record is from RNAcentral.